GGCUUAAGAGGAGGGGUGAGAAAAAGUCGUAUAAAAGGCGAGAGAAAAGUCGAUACAGGGAACAGUCGUGUGAGCAUCUCCGACACGGCAACAACUGCAGUGUACUUUUGCCAUCAGCUUUCAGCUAUCUGCCAUCGUCAGUUCUUAAUCAUGGUUGUAUUUAAGGAGAAAGAAAAGGCGAAAGAAAUCAGUCGAGUGAGCAUCUCCGAUAUGCAAGAGUUGCAGUGCGCCAUUCAUCACCAACUGCAUUCUUCGUCGCUUUACCAGUUUCAAUCAUGGUCGUUUAAAGGGAGAGAAAAGGCGGUAGAAUUCAUUCGUAUCUCCGACAUGGGAGCAGCAAAUGCAGUGCACUAUUUUACAUCAACUGCAUUCUUCGUCGAAGUGCUAGUUUUAAAUCAUGGUAAACUUUGGCGUCGCGUGCUGCUGUUGGGUGUUGUAUAGUUGACGGCUGGUUCAGCCAUGGUGUACCAAUGUCUCCUGGGUAUGGCCGUAACAAAUCGCAACGCCGCCACCUUACUACACAACAUACGACACAACCAGUUGCUACACCAAGGCCCCCAAGUACUACACCACCAAGGCUCCACAUUAUUGUACCACAACUUAUGCUGCCUGAGCUACUACACCGAAGCCCCGAAGCAUUGUUCUUCCCCGAGCUACACUACCAGAGGUUCGAGUACUACACCGAUGCUCUGAAGUACUACACCACCACGGCACCAAAGUACUGCACCACCAAGGCACCGGAGUACUGCACUACUACAUAUCAUGGUCGUAUGAAAGGAGAGAAAAGGUGAAAGAAUUCAGCAGCCGAGUGAGCAUUUCCGUUACAGCAACAGGAACUGCCGUGCACUAGUUGUCAUCAACUUCAUUCUUCGUGGCGUUACAAGUGUUUAAUAAAGUUAACUAUGGUGGCGUGCUGCUGUUGGGUGUUGUAUCGUUGAUGGCUGGGUCGACCACUGGUGUGCCGAUUUCUCCUGGGUAUGGUGGGCAUGAAUAACAACAUACGCAACAACCGGUCACUACACUGAGGCCCCUAAGUGCUACACCACCAAGGCUCCAGAUUAUUACACCACAGUUUAUGUUGGUCCGAGCUAUUCGCAGAAGCUCCGAAGUAUUUUUCUUCGCCAAGCUUCGCUACCUUCACCACGCCGCCUCCUUCCUAAACAAUAACGUCAACACUUUCUUACUAUACGAAGGCCUCCAAGUACUACGCCACGAAGGCUUCUGACUACUAUACCGAGGAUCUAACUUGUUACAUCAUCGAAGUUCUCAAGUACUUCACUACCCCCUACGUUGCCCCAGCUUACACCACGCAGGCACCGGAGUACUACACCAGGCAGGCACCGGAGUACUACACCAGGCAGGCACCGGAGUACUACACCAGGCAGGCACCGGAGUACUACACCAGGCAGGCACCGGAGUACUACACCAGGCAGGCACCGGAGUACUACACCAGGCAGGCACCGGAGUACUACACCAGGCAGGCACCGGAGUACUACACCAGGCAGGCACCGGAGUACUACACGUUAAACCGAGGCUCCAGUUUACUACACUACAACCUACGCUGCUCAAAACAACUACAUUGAUGCUCCAAAGUACUACACCACCAAGGCAUCCGAGCAUACACUACCACUACACCUACCACUACCACUACUUACGCUACCGCCACCUGCUACACCGAAGUUCCGAAAGCAGUACUCUGGCCCGAGUUACUACACCACUUAGGCAGCCGAAUAUUACACCAUAAACUACGAUUCCGCAAUUUUCUACAAGGAAUUUCCUAAAUAGAGCCGAAAUUUCUACUUCAGAUUAUUUAUAUUUGUCGGUUAUUUCCAUGGCCAAUGCCCAAUGGUCACUGGGAAUUAAUCGUUGACCUUUAAUGAGAAAAUAAAAGUUUUAAUGCGGGUAA
This is a long non-coding RNA of Daphnia pulex (common water flea), 1906 nucleotides long. RefSeq lists it as uncharacterized. NCBI's taxonomy places the organism in Eukaryota, Metazoa, Arthropoda, Branchiopoda, Diplostraca, Daphniidae. The record is from RefSeq and is a predicted model, not a curated record. The transcript is spliced from 7 exons.